RNAcentral lists this ribosomal RNA (1824 nucleotides) under Salmonella enterica subsp. enterica serovar Javiana. RNAcentral describes it as "partial 23S ribosomal RNA". It matches the Rfam family "Bacterial large subunit ribosomal RNA", at positions 1 to 1757 of the family's 2925-position model. The record is from RNAcentral. Lineage: Bacteria; Pseudomonadati; Pseudomonadota; Gammaproteobacteria; Enterobacterales; Enterobacteriaceae.
GGGUUGUGAGGUUAAGCGACUAAGCGUACACGGUGGAUGCCCUGGCAGUCAGAGGCGAUGAAGGACGUGCUAAUCUGCGAUAAGCGCCGGUAAGGUGAUAUGAACCGUUAUAACCGGCGAUUUCCGAAUGGGGAAACCCAGUGUGACUCGUCACACUAUCAUUAACUGAAUCCAUAGGUUAAUGAGGCGAACCGGGGGAACUGAAACAUCUAAGUACCCCGAGGAAAAGAAAUCAACCGAGAUUCCCCCAGUAGCGGCGAGCGAACGGGGAGGAGCCCAGAGCCUGAAUCAGCAUGUGUGUUAGUGGAAGCGUCUGGAAAGGCGCGCGAUACAGGGUGACAGCCCCGUACACAAAAGCGCAUGUGCUGUGAGCUCGAUGAGUAGGGCGGGACACGUGGUAUCCUGUCUGAAUAUGGGGGGACCAUCCUCCAAGGCUAAAUACUCCUGACUGACCGAUAGUGAACCAGUACCGUGAGGGAAAGGCGAAAAGAACCCCGGCGAGGGGAGUGAAAAAGAACCUGAAACCGUGUACGUACAAGCAGUGGGAGCCCCACCACUAAGCCAGUGGUGAACUCCACAUACGCAUCCUUUGCUGAGGAUACGGUUAACGGAGCGAAAGCGACGUUCAACCGCAAAAGAAGCAGAGGGGGCUUAGUGGUGGGGUGACUGCGUACCUUUUGUAUAAUGGGUCAGCGACUUAUAUUCUGUAGCAAGGUUAACCGAAUAGGGGAGCCGGAGGGAAACCGAGUCUUAACCGGGCGUUAAGUUGCAGGGUAUAGACCCGAAACCCGGUGAUCUAGCCAUGGGCAGGUUGAAGGUUGGGUAACACUAACUGGAGGACCGAACCGACUAAUGUUGAAAAAUUAGCGGAUGACCUGUGGCUGGGGGUGAAAGGCCAAUCAAACCGGGAGAUAGCUGGUUCUCCCCGAAAGCUAUUUAGGUAGCGCCUCGUGAACUCAUCUCCGGGGGUAGAGCACUGUUUCGGCUAGGGGGCCAUCCCGGCUUACCAACCCGAUGCAAACUGCGAAUACCGGAGAAUGUUAUCACGGGAGACACACGGCGGGUGCUAACGUCCGUCGUGAAGAGGGAAACAACCCAGACCGCCAGCUAAGGUCCCAAAGUCAUGGUUAAGUGGGAAACGAUGUGGGAAGGCCCAGACAGCCAGGAUGUUGGCUUAGAAGCAGCCAUCAUUUAAAGAAAGCGUAAUAGCUCACUGGUCGAGUCGGCCUGCGCGGAAGAUGUAACGGGGCUAAACCAUGCACCGAAGCUGCGGCAGCGACACUCAGGUGUUGUUGGGUAGGGGAGCGUUCUGUAAGCCUGCGAAGGUGGCCUGUGAGGGUUGCUGGAGGUAUCAGAAGUGCGAAUGCUGACAUAAGUAACGAUAAAGCGGGUGAAAAGCCCGCUCGCCGGAAGACCAAGGGUUCCUGUCCAACGUUAAUCGGGGCAGGGUGAGUCGACCCCUAAGGCGAGGCCGAAAGGCGUAGUCGAUGGGAAACGGGUUAAUAUUCCCGUACUUGGUGUUACUGCGAAGGGGGGACGGAGAAGGCUAUGUUGGCCGGGCGACGGUUGUCCCGGUUUAAGCGUGUAGGCUGGUUUUCCAGGCAAAUCCGGAAAAUCAAGGCUGAGGCGUGACGACGAGGCACUACGGUGCUGAAGCAACAAAUGCCCUGCUUCCAGGAAAAGCCUCUAAGCAUCAGGUAACAUCAAAUCGUACCCCAAACCGACACAGGUGGUCAGGUAGAGAAUACCAAGGCGCUUGAGAGAACUCGGGUGAAGGAACUAGGCAAAAUGGUGCCGUAACUUCGGGAGAAGGCACGCUGACAC